Molecule: unclassified non-coding RNA, 336 nt
Filed under: soil metagenome
Description: partial contains 5.8S ribosomal RNA, internal transcribed spacer 2, and large subunit ribosomal RNA
Rfam family: 5.8S ribosomal RNA (bases 1-120)
Source: RNAcentral
GAUGAAGAACGCAGCGAAAUGCGAUAAGUAGUGUGAAUUGCAGAAUUCAGUGAAUCAUCGAAUCUUUGAACGCACAUUGCGCCCCUUGGUAUUCCAUGGGGCAUGCCUGUUCGAGCGUCAUUUGUACCUUCAAGCUUUGCUUGGUGUUGGGUGUUUGUCUCGCCUUUGCGUGUAGACUCGCCUUAAAAUAAUUGGCAGCCGGCGUACUGAUUUCGGAGCGCAGUACAUCUCGCGCUUUGCACUCAUAACGACAGCGUCCAAAAGUACAUUUUACACUCUUGACCUCGGAUCAGGUAGGGAUACCCGCUGAACUUAAGCAUAUCAAUAAGCGGAGGA